Molecule: long non-coding RNA, 1433 nt
Filed under: Olea europaea subsp. europaea
Lineage: Eukaryota; Viridiplantae; Streptophyta; Magnoliopsida; Lamiales; Oleaceae
Source: RNAcentral
CAAAUCCAUUUUCCUACUAAAUGGACCUGUCGAUCGAAGAGAAACACACCCAUCAAGAUUACAUCGCCGACUUGGUUUCCUUCUCUGUCAAAUUUCGCUCAAUUGAACCGUGAAUAAGCCCAAGGUUUUCAGCUGUAUAACUAUUAUUCUUGCAUAAACCCUUAUCUCUUACCCAUUUUCCCGUCGCAGUCGUGACUAUCUCCGACCAGUGUCGUUCAACGAUUCUGUUGAGAGGCCAACGUCUUCAGACCUUAUCUCUAACCCAAUUUGCGAGUAAAGAUUAUUAUUUGUUUCACAUCCUUUGUACAUUUGUUGUGAAGGUACCUUUUUUGUGUUUUUAUAUAAUAUUCAUGUUCUUUAAAUCCUGUUGAUCUGCAGCUUAUGGCAUGGUAUGCAUCAAAUGGAUUUUUUUUGUUCUGAUUUAAACUUUCAUUAUUGAAUUUUUCAUUAUUUUGAUAUGUACAGAAAAAUAGCGGCAUUUAUAGCUUGUUGAAAUUGGUCCUAUUGAGUUUAGAUGAUAAAUUACUUUCAUAAUCUAUUUGUUUCGAAGUAUGAAAUCAUUGUAUUUGGCUAGAGAAGUGAAAUGAGAGCACAUUUAAAUUGUGAUUUAUAUGGUCUGUUUUUUCUUGUGAUGAUAGUAUACCAUUUCUCUUUGAUGAUUUUCAGUUAUACCUGUAAGUGCAGCAUGAGACAGUUGCUAGAAUGUUAUUUGAAUUCUACAUUUUAUAGUAGAAUUUAUUUGUUGGAUUCCUAUGGUGGUAUAGAAUGUUGCUUAAGUUUUAAUUGAGCUAUUUUUUCCGGAUCUAUAUUUCAUUUUAAUUUGUAAUGAAAUCCUCUAAAUAUUGUUUGCCACGUAGGGAUGAGAGGGAGGAAUUAUGGUGUUUGUCACAGUUGUAGAAGCACAGAGCACUACUUCAAAGAUUGCAAGAGGAAAGUUCAUUGUUCACGGUGUGCAGUUGGAAUUCAAAAAUGUUCCGCGGUUGAAAAGGAAAGCAGUAACAAAGGUAGACUAUUCAGAACUUGCAAUAGCUCUUGCGGAUUUUUUGACUGUGUAAGAACAGAAGAAUCAAGUAGAGAGUCGAGUGUCAUUAAUGAGGAAGUGAUGAAUCCUACUGCCAAUGAGGAAGUCGACAAUUUGCCAUGCAUGUUCGAACAUCUAGCUCGAAUUGUCGAGAAACGAAACGUCGAGAUUUCGUUGAACGUGACAUUCCGCAAAGGAAAAGAGCCCUCGAACGAUAAUGGAGAAGAAAAGGGGCCUGCGUGAUUAUUAAUUAUAUUCAUUCUUACACCCAAAAUAGUUUUGUGUUUGGGUUUGUAAUAUCGAGAGAUGAUGAAAAAAAUCGAAGAACCCAACAAUAUUCAUUUUCAAAGAAUGCAAUGAAAGCCCUCUUUUUUAUAUGUAUGGUAUCAUGAGUAAAAUGUUUGUGUUGUAU